RNAcentral lists this long non-coding RNA (560 nucleotides) under Homo sapiens (human). Its description in RNAcentral is "non-protein coding lnc-ITM2C-1:9". The record is from RNAcentral. Lineage: Eukaryota; Metazoa; Chordata; Mammalia; Primates; Hominidae.
AGAGUGACUAGUGCAGGCUUCCUGGGGAACCAUUUGAGCUUUGAAGGUGGGGAAGAGGAAUGUCAGAGAGUGGGCAAAAUACAACAGGAAAGGUCCAAAUUCACCCUCUGAGGGCCCGGGGCACGGGGGCAGCCUGCUCUCCUCCUGGGGCCCUGUUCCCUGUGGGGACUGGAAGAGAGGCUUUGAGUCUAGGGCCUGGGGCAGCCAGGACUGACGGGGGUGCAGUCCUAGAAGGGUCGGCAGUCACGGUGGCCCACCAUGGCAUCUCCGUAUCCUUGCUGCAUGCUGCACCCACUCCAGCUGCCAGAGCACGGAGGCAGAGACGUGGGAGCCGAUGAAGGUCGCACGCCAGCCUCCCACCUGUGAGACAAAGGGCCCUGUCACUGGAAGCCACGUCCAGCCUGGCCCCGCAGGAGCCAGGGCUCUGCGCCUAACGGAGGACUGAUGGGAAAGGGAAGGCUGGCAGCAGUGAGGCCAAUGUCUUCACAGGUUUUUUGACCUUGGCAAUGUUCCCGUCAGACUGCAGAAGAAUUGACUAUUCCCGUUCAGGUAGAUGAUGA